AUGUCCCACUCCUGCACUGCGGUUGCCGCGCCGUUCCCACCCACCUGAGCACUGCUCGCUACGUUUUGUAAGCC
Molecule: small RNA, 74 nt
Filed under: Xanthomonas sp. 3793
Lineage: Bacteria; Pseudomonadati; Pseudomonadota; Gammaproteobacteria; Lysobacterales; Lysobacteraceae
Description: sRNA sX9
Rfam family: Xanthomonas sRNA sX9
Source: RNAcentral